GGACUACCAGGGUUUCUAAUCCUGUUCGCUCCCCACGCUUUCGCUCCUCAGCGUCAGUAUCGGCCCAGAGACCCGCCUUCGCCACCGGUGUUCCUCCUGAUAUCUGCGCAUUUCACCGCUACACCAGGAAUUCCAGUCUCCCCUACCGAACUCUAGCCUGCCCGUAUCGACUGCAGACCACACGGUUGAGCCGCAGGUUUUCACAGUCGACGCGACAGGCCGCCUACGAGCUCUUUACGCCCAAUAAAUCCGGACAACGCUCGCGCCCUACGUCUUACCGCGGCGGCUGGCAC
This 293-nucleotide ribosomal RNA is filed under the name uncultured bacterium. RNAcentral describes it as "partial 16S ribosomal RNA". The record is from RNAcentral.